GAUGAAGAACGUAGCGAAAUGCGAUAAGUAGUGUGAAUUGCAGAAUUCAGUGAAUCAUCGAAUCUUUGAACGCACAUUGCGCCCCUUGGUAUUCCAUGGGGCAUGCCUGUUCGAGCGUCAUUACAACCCUCAGGCCCCCGGGCCUGGCGUUGGGGAUCGGCGGAGCCCCCCGUGGGCACACGCCGUCCCCCAAAUGCAGUGGCGGUCCCGCCGCAGCUUCCAUCGCAUAGUAGCUAACACCUCGCGACUGGAGAGCGGCGCGGCCACGCCGUAAAACACCCAACUCUUCUGAAGUUGACCUCGAAUCAGGUAGGAAUACCCGCUGAACUUAAGCAUAUCAAUAAGCGGAGGA
RNAcentral lists this unclassified non-coding RNA (352 nucleotides) under soil metagenome. RNAcentral's name for it is "partial contains 5.8S ribosomal RNA, internal transcribed spacer 2, and large subunit ribosomal RNA". The stretch from base 1 to 120 matches the Rfam family "5.8S ribosomal RNA", at positions 35 to 154 of the family's 154-position model. The record is from RNAcentral.